RNAcentral lists this long non-coding RNA (1972 nucleotides) under Leguminivora glycinivorella. RNAcentral's name for it is "uncharacterized LOC125228791". Lineage: Eukaryota; Metazoa; Arthropoda; Insecta; Lepidoptera; Tortricidae. The record is from RNAcentral.
UGACAGAUUGCAACCGAACCCUAAUAAAACUUAUUAUAUUAUAUUAUUAUUUAUUUUUUCCACUUUUUAUUUUUGCAUCUCAGCAAAAGCAAAUUUCAGCGGUUUCCAGUCCAGGACGGACGGGCGGAUGGACAGACAGACAGACAAAUAUGGCGAAACUAUAAGGAUUCCUAGUUGACUACGAAAUACUAAAAUAAGCGCCAAAUUUGAAACAUGGGCGAAGGUUUAUUGUGCCAUAGAAAAUUUGAAUUAGGCGCCUUUUUUAAACGACAGUAUUUGCUUGGCCAUAAUUUUCUUUAAAUAAUUUUAUUAAUGUAAAUGUUGCAAAUAAUUGUGAAAAUAAAGUUAUCGAAUAAUAAUACUAAAGCCUGACCAGAAAUAUAUGACUAUUAUUGUCAAGAGGGCGCUGUUUAUUCUGAUGUAUGGGGUGACAUUGCAGUUUAGUAUGAAGAAUAGUUCUCAUAUUAUAUUUCUCUCUUUAUUAGGCUCUCAGGCUUUAUCAAUCUAUGACUUUCGAGCCAAUUCGUCACUACUUUUAAAAAAUUUCGUAUCUCACGCUGUUCCUCAAAGUUAAAACGCAGUAAGUCUAUAUGCAUUCCAUACAUACUUACUACAAUUUUCUUUUCAUUGAUAGACGAAGAUAUGAGUUUUUUUUUAAAGUAGUGACGAAUUAUUUAUGUCUCCUGAUUUUUAGGACACGUGUCUUCUGAUUUUAUUCAAAUUGGACCUGGCAACACUGAAAUAAUGUCAGAAUCUUUUCUUUGACAUUAUUUACAAUUUAUAUUAUUGUACAUAAUUGGUUUUUUCACUAUUCUUAAGCUAAAAAAAACACCUGUUUGUCCUCCAAAGAAUACCUUAUUGGAUUCACAGAAUGAUUGAGGAUUUGAGGGAAGCAUGUUAAGACUGUGACAAUAUGGUCUUAAGGCAGCCGGCCUCAUUGAGAACAAGAAAAUAUUCUGCUUCAUGUAGCGGUUGUUAUUUGUUAAUAUGACAUGUCUCGGCAGUGUAGUGACCCUGUGCUUAAUUAAGGCUUCAGGCUCAAAUCAUGGUAAACCAAAAUGUAAGCGGCCGGUUGAAAAAGUAGCAGAGUCGAAAAUGGAAAUUAAUGAGCUGCAGAAGUAAAUUUUAGAAGAAUAAUUCUCUUCUUUGUUGUAUCCUUGUGGCUGAGGGACAUGACGAAUGAGGCCAUUCUUUACCAGUGCUCUUCACGCCACUCAAUCCUGGGCCCGGUGCAUGCUAGCCUGCAGUGGUCUUUGUCAGAGAUGUUAUUGUGUCUGCCCAAUGUGUGCCCAUGCUGCCACUUCUUCACUUCCUUGCCGUGUCCUGUGAUUAUGGGAAUAAUAUGCAAAUAAAAACCAACAAUGGGCCAUCGAAGAACAGGAGAGGGCAUGUGGGCCUUAGAGAAAGAGUUGUUAAUGUGAAGACUAAAUAAAUUCAACAAAUAAAAUCUCAACUAUAAUACUGUCUUUGGUACACCCGCUACCAUCGCGUCAAAUAGUGAAAGUGCAGUUCAGUGUAAGCAAAGACAGUGUACAAGAUAUACCACUCACCUAUGGCAUUAGUGUUACUAGACCACAUUAAUACAUAAAGACUAUUUUUCUAAACUUGUCCAAAAAUUUUAUUAAAAAGGUGUCGGAACGCCUUACAGGUGUCUCGAGGGACCAAAUAGCGGGUUCCUUCUUUGCUCAGAGGUUGAGUCUGGCGGUGCAAAGGGGAAACGCCGCAAGCAUUCUUGGGUCUAUGCCGGAGGCAGGGGAUCUGAGGGGGUUUUUUAUAUUUAGUUAUAACCUGCUUGUGUUAGUUUUAGUCUUUAGGGUUUUAAGAUUUAAUUAUAAGAUUAAAUAUAUUGUUCGUAGUUGUUGUUGAAUAAGCAGUGUUUGUGUGUCUGACUAACGAAAAUAUAAAUUCAGAUUCUAAACGUCUAAACUUGUGUAUAGCUCUGUGUUGUCUUAAUAAAUCCUAUUGGAAACGC